UGUGCAGAGUGAAAGAACUCAGGAGAAGAGGGAUGUUCAGUGGGGGCCUGGGCUACAGAGACACCAGGAAGGAGGUGCCCAAGAAAACAGGUUUAGAUUUGGAAAUCAGGAGAUCUCUGGGGGCUUUCAAGAGAAUUAUUUGAGUGGUGGGUUGUGUAGACAAGAUUGCCACUCCUUGGGGGGCAUCAGGAUCCUGGAUCCAGUUGGUUGAUCCAGGGACACAAAGGUUCAUUUCUUUGAUUUCCUUCACGGGGACUCCGAAGGGCCUCCCCAGAGCCACAGCUUCCAGAGGGAUCUGACGAGGCCUCUGUGGAAAGCAACGCAGUUCAAGUUCAGUCUCUGCCUAAUCCUGUUUUCCUCACUCUCUCAAGGUGAGUGAGGUCUAUGGGGGUAAGCCCCCCCGCCUCCCCGUAGACCUCCUGGAAUGCCUGGAACAGCUCAGCAACCUGGGCACAGGUGGCUUGAGACAACCUAGCCAUUCGGGCCUGCUGCCAGAGUGAACGCCACAGGGAGGCCUGCCGGGUCUGGGGAGCAUGAGCUGGUCAGGCCCCCAGUAGACCCCUUGCAGGCUGAUCUCCAUCUCCAUGCAGAGUCUGUAUCCUAGAAAUCCAACCUGAGAUCCUGCGGCACCGAGAAAGGGAAGCUGUUUCAAGAGAUAGGAAUUGUCAGAAAAAGCCGGAGAAGGUGGUGUUAAAGGAAAACAUUGAGAAUGGGGAGUGAAGACGAGGGUUUUUCGUAGCAGAAGAUGGAUCUUCGAAAGCCAGGAGGCAGAGGAGAGCAACGCUGUCGGUGAGAUAAAGGAAGUUUUCAAAAACCUGCUUCUGUAACUAGUGGACAGGUCUUCUGGAUCCAAGGUCACCUGCUGGGGAGAAAGAGAAGCCUUUGGAUAAACAUCACAAGUUUUCCUGGAACAUGGAUUUUAUUUAAGAUUUUUUGGAAAGAAGGGAAUAAGGUUUUUACCUUUGUAAUGUUUUUACAAAUAUUUUCAAAAGUGUAACAUGUAUAUGUGCUCAUUUUAGAAAAUUUGAUCAGUAUAAAAUAUUAAAGAAGAAAGUAAAAGCUCAUUUGGAAUCUUAUCUGUUGGAAGGAAUCACUGUCUUGCUA
RNAcentral lists this long non-coding RNA (1104 nucleotides) under Homo sapiens (human). Its description in RNAcentral is "HSALNT0366203". The record is from RNAcentral. Lineage: Eukaryota; Metazoa; Chordata; Mammalia; Primates; Hominidae.